Molecule: ribosomal RNA, 484 nt
Filed under: uncultured bacterium
Lineage: Bacteria
Description: partial 16S ribosomal RNA
Rfam family: Bacterial small subunit ribosomal RNA
Source: RNAcentral
AUUGAACGCUGGCGGCGGGCCUAACACAUGCAAGUCGAGCGGAUGAAGGGAGCUUGCUCCUGGAUUCAGCGGCGGACGGGUGAGUAAUGCCUAGGAAUCUGCCUGGUAGUGGGGGAUAACGUCCGGAAACGGGCGCUAAUACCGCAUACGUCCUGAGGGAGAAAGUGGGGGAUCUUCGGACCUCACGCUAUCAGAUGAGCCUAGGUCGGAUUAGCUAGUUGGUGGGGUAAAGGCCUACCAAGGCGACGAUCCGUAACUGGUCUGAGAGGAUGAUCAGUCACACGGGAACUGAGACACGGUCCAGACUCCUACGGGAGGCAGCAGUGGGGAAUAUUGGACAAUGGGCGAAAGCCUGAUCCAGCCAUGCCGCGUGUGUGAAGAAGGUCUUCGGAUUGUAAAGCACUUUAAGUUGGGAGGAAGGGCAGUAAGUUAAUACCUUGCUGUUUUGACGUUACCAACAGAAUAAGCACCGGCUAACUUCGUG